This 311-nucleotide unclassified non-coding RNA is filed under the name Hevea brasiliensis (rubber tree). The record is from RNAcentral. Lineage: Eukaryota; Viridiplantae; Streptophyta; Magnoliopsida; Malpighiales; Euphorbiaceae.
CUCAUCACCAUAAGCCUUCUUGGAAAUCUUCUCGUGGAGCAACUUAGCCUCUGUUUUUGCGAGGGUCAUGCUCACCUCAUCCCCCUCGUAUCGGUAUGAGCACACAAGAGGAAACAAAAGCUUGCGGAAGUCCCCAGUUGUGUGAUGUGCAACAUCCUCUUCAAGGGACUUCUUAAAGCGAGCAUGAUACGCCUGUCUUGCCUGAAGCAAUUCAUUUGAAGACCUUGUGCAGGCGAUUUCCAUAAGAACCUGAUUGCUUGAUGUCCAUCUCUUAGUUGCCUCAUUAGCUAAAAAUGCAUCGCGUUCAGCAG